This 253-nucleotide ribosomal RNA is filed under the name uncultured bacterium. RNAcentral's name for it is "partial 16S ribosomal RNA". It matches the Rfam family "Bacterial small subunit ribosomal RNA", at positions 524 to 776 of the family's 1533-position model. The record is from RNAcentral.
UACGAAGGGGGCGAGCGUUGUUCGGAUUUACUGGGCGUAAAGCGUGCGCAGGCGGCUAUGCAAGACAGAUGUGAAAUCCCCGGGCUCAACCUGGGAACUGCAUUUGUGACUGCAUGGCUAGAGUACGGUAGAGGGGGAUGGAAUUCCGCGUGUAGCAGUGAAAUGCGUAGAUAUGCGGAGGAACACCGAUGGCGAAGGCAAUCCCCUGGACCUGUACUGACGCUCAUGCACGAAAGCGUGGGGAGCAAACAGG